Molecule: ribosomal RNA, 459 nt
Filed under: uncultured bacterium
Lineage: Bacteria
Description: partial 16S ribosomal RNA
Rfam family: Bacterial small subunit ribosomal RNA
Source: RNAcentral
CCUACGGGAGGCAGCAGUGAGGAAUAUUGGACAAUGGGCGAGAGCCUGAACCAGCCAAGUCGCGUGAGGGAAGAAGUUCCUCUGGAUUGUAAACCUCUUUUGCCGGGGAGCAAAAAGCGGUACGUGUACCGCAUCGAGAGUCCCCGGAGAAAAAGCAUCGGCUAACGCCGUGCCAGCAGCCGCGGUAAUACGGAGGAUGCGCGCGUUAUCCGGAUUUAUUGGGUGUAAAGGGUGCGUAGGCGGAUUUUUAAGUGAGCGGUAAAACGUCCGGGCUCAACCCGUGCCGGCCGUUGAAACUGGGGAUCUUGGGUGGGCGAGAAGUAUGCGGAAUGCGUAGUGUAGCGGUGAAAUGCAUAGAUAUCACGCAGAACGCCGAUUGCGAAGGCAGCCUACCGGCGCCCGACUGACGCUGAGGCACGAAAGCGUGGGGAUCGAACAGGAUUAGAUACCCUUGUAGUC